AGUGAACGCUGGCGGUAGGCCUAACACAUGCAAGUCGAACGGCAGCACAGUAAGAGCUUGCUCUUACGGGUGGCGAGUGGCGGACGGGUGAGGAAUACAUCGGAAUCUACUUUUUCGUGGGGGAUAACGUAGGGAAACUUACGCUAAUACCGCAUACGACCUACGGGUGAAAGCAGGGGAUCUUCGGACCUUGCGCGAUUGAAUGAGCCGAUGUCGGAUUAGCUAGUUGGCGGGGUAAAGGCCCACCAAGGCGACGAUCCGUAGCUGGUCUGAGAGGAUGAUCAGCCACACUGGAACGGAGACACGGUCCAGACUCCUACGGGAGGCAGCAGUGGGGAAUAUUGGACAAGGGGCGCAAGCCUGAUCCAGCCAUACCGCGUGGGUGAAGAAGGCCUUCGGGUUGUAAAGCCCUUUUGUUGGGAAAGAAAAGAAGCAGGUUAAUACCCCGCUGUUCUGACGGUACCCAAAGAAUAGGCACCGGCUAACUUCG
RNAcentral lists this ribosomal RNA (490 nucleotides) under uncultured bacterium. Its description in RNAcentral is "partial 16S ribosomal RNA". It matches the Rfam family "Bacterial small subunit ribosomal RNA", at positions 29 to 505 of the family's 1533-position model. The record is from RNAcentral.